This 253-nucleotide ribosomal RNA is filed under the name uncultured bacterium. RNAcentral describes it as "partial 16S ribosomal RNA". It matches the Rfam family "Bacterial small subunit ribosomal RNA", at positions 57 to 305 of the family's 1533-position model. The record is from RNAcentral.
GCAAGUCGAACGGCAGCGCGGGGAGCUUGCUAUCUUGCUGACGAGUGGCGGACGGGUGAGUAACGCGUAGGGAUCUACCCAGCUGCGGGGGAUAGCCCGGUGAAAACCGGAUUAAUACCGCAUACGACCUUCGGGUGAAAGGGUGCCUCUCCUUGGAAGCAUUCACAGUUGGAUGAACCUGCGUCAGAUUAGCUAGUUGGUAGGGUAAAGGCCUACCAAGGCGACGAUCUGUAGCUGGUCUGAGAGGAUGAUC